RNAcentral lists this ribosomal RNA (454 nucleotides) under uncultured Streptococcus sp. RNAcentral describes it as "bacterial SSU rRNA". It matches the Rfam family "Bacterial small subunit ribosomal RNA", at positions 924 to 1382 of the family's 1533-position model. Lineage: Bacteria; Bacillati; Bacillota; Bacilli; Lactobacillales; Streptococcaceae. The record is from RNAcentral.
CACAAGCAGUGGAGUAUGUGGUUUAAUUCGAAGCAACGCGAAGAACCUUUACCAGGGCUUGACAUCCCUUGAAGCAGCUAGAGAUAGCUGUGUCCUUCGGGACAAGGAGACAGGUGGUGCAUGGUUGUCGUCAGCUCGUGUCGUGAGAUGUUGGGUUAAGUCCCGCAACGAGCGCAACCCCUAUUGUUAGUUGCCAUCAUUCAGUUGGGCACUCUAGCGAGACUGCCGGUAAUAAACCGGAGGAAGUGGGAUGACGUCAAAUCAUCAUGCCCCUUAUGACCUGGGCUACACACGUGCUACAAUGGUUGGUACAACGAGUUGCGAGUCGGUGACGGCGAGCUAAUCUCUUAAAGCCAAUCUCAGUUCGGAUUGUAGGCUGCAACUCGCCUACAUGAAGUCGGAAUCGCUAGUAAUCGCGGAUCAGCACGCCGCGGUGAAUACGUUCCCGGGCCUU